GAAGGCAUAGCUUGGUGGUAGAGCACAUGCUAAGCAUGCAUGAGGUCCUGGGUUCAAUCCCCAGUACCUCCA
RNAcentral lists this transfer RNA (72 nucleotides) under Camelus bactrianus (Bactrian camel). It matches the Rfam family "tRNA". Rfam says of the family: Transfer RNA (tRNA) molecules are approximately 80 nucleotides in length. Their secondary structure includes four short double-helical elements and three loops (D, anti-codon, and T loops). Further hydrogen bonds mediate the characteristic L-shaped molecular structure. tRNAs have two regions of fundamental functional importance: the anti-codon, which is responsible for specific mRNA codon recognition, and the 3' end, to which the tRNAs corresponding amino acid is attached (by aminoacyl-tRNA synthetases). tRNAs cope with the degeneracy of the genetic code in two manners: having more than one tRNA (with a specific anti-codon) for a particular amino acid; and 'wobble' base-pairing, i.e. permitting non-standard base-pairing at the 3rd anti-codon position. Lineage: Eukaryota; Metazoa; Chordata; Mammalia; Artiodactyla; Camelidae. The record is from Rfam by way of RNAcentral. RNAcentral also lists the same sequence under 2 other names.